AGAGAUGUGUGAUGACGCAUAUCAAUAAGCGGAGGAAAAGAAACUAACUAGGAUUCCCUUAGUAACGGCGAGUGAAGCGGGAAGAGCUCAAAUUUGAAAUCUUCAAGGUUCUACCUUGACGAAUUGUAGUUUAAAGAAGUGUUUUCUGUUGGAGUUUUGGUAAAAGUUCUUUGGAAUAGGACAUCAUAGAGGGUGAGAAUCCCAGUAUUUGACCAGUUAUCUUCCAGCUGUGUGAUACACUUUCAACGAGUCGGAUUGUUUGGGAAUGCAGUCCAAAAUGGGUGGUAAAUUUCAUCUAAAGCUAAAUAUUGGCGAGAGACCGAUAGCGAACAAGUACCGUGAGGGAAAGAUGAAAAGAACUUUGAAAAGAGAGUUAAACAGUACGUGAAAUUGUCAAAAGGGAAGCGUUUGACACCAGUGUUGUUUUUCCGAAAAUCAAUUACGAAUGUUUUGUUUUUGAGGAGUUAUGACUUCAUCGGCUUGCUUCUCUCUUUACGAAACUUUCUUAAUGCACUUUUCGGUUAACAAGUCAACAUCAAUUUCUUUUGUUGUAAAAGGGUAUGAGGAAGGUGGCUUUCUUUUCGGAGAAAGUGUUUAUAGCCUUGUGCCUCUGCAAUCGGAGAGAUUGAGGUCUGCAGCGUAGAUCCUUCGGGGUUAGAUACAUUUGUGCUAAGUUAUAGCCUUUCAUAGACAACUUGUUGACUAUGAUCAGUCAUGUAGCUUACUCGCUUAUGUCAUUUUACCUACGCUUAGGAUGUUGACAGCAGUAUAGACUGU
This 777-nucleotide ribosomal RNA is filed under the name uncultured Neocallimastigales. RNAcentral describes it as "partial large subunit ribosomal RNA". It matches the Rfam family "Eukaryotic large subunit ribosomal RNA", at positions 23 to 640 of the family's 3401-position model. The record is from RNAcentral. Lineage: Eukaryota; Fungi; Neocallimastigomycota; Neocallimastigomycetes; Neocallimastigales.